AGAGUUUGAUCCUGGCUCAGAACGAACGCUGGCGGCGUGGAUAAGACAUGCAAGUCGAACGAGAGAAUUGCUAGCUUGCUAAUAAUUCUCUAGUGGCGCACGGGUGAGUAACACGUGAGUAACCUGCCCCCGAGAGCGGGAUAGCCCUGGGAAACUGGGAUUAAUACCGCAUAGUAUCGAAAGAUUAAAGCAGCAAUGCGCUUGGGGAUGGGCUCGCGGCCUAUUAGUUAGUUGGUGAGGUAACGGCUCACCAAGGCGAUGACGGGUAGCCGGUCUGAGAGGAUGUCCGGCCACACUGGAACUGAGACACGGUCCAGACACCUACGGGUGGCAGCAGUCGAGAAUCAUUCACAAUGGGGGAACCCUGAUGGUGCGACGCCGCGUGGGGGAAUGAAGGUCUUCGGAUUGUAAACCCCUGUCAUGUGGGAGCAAAUUAAAAAGAUAGUACCACAAGAGGAAGAGACGGCUAACUCUGUGCCAGCAGCCGCGGUAAUACAGAGGUCUCAAGCGUUGUUCGGAAUCACUGGGCGUAAAGCGUGCGUAGGCUGUUUCGUAAGUCGUGUGUGAAAGGCGCGGGCUCAACCCGCGGACGGCACAUGAUACUGCGAGACUAGAGUAAUGGAGGGGGAACCGGAAUUCUCGGUGUAGCAGUGAAAUGCGUAGAUAUCGAGAGGAACACUCGUGGCGAAGGCGGGUUCCUGGACAUUAACUGACGCUGAGGCACGAAGGCCAGGGGAGCGAAAGGGAUUAGAUACCCCUGUAGUCCUGGCAGUAGACGGUGCACGCUUGGUGUGCGGGGAAUCGACCCCCUGCGUGCCGGAGCUAACGCGUUAAGCGUGCCGCCUGGGGAGUACGGUCGCAAGAUUAAAACUCAAAGAAAUUGACGGGGACCCGCACAAGCGGUGGAGUAUGUGGCUUAAUUCGAUGCAACGCGAAGAACCUUACCUGGGCUUGACAUGUAAUGAACAACAUGUGAAAGCAUGCGACUCUUCGGAGGCGUUACACAGGUGCUGCAUGGCCGUCGUCAGCUCGUGUCGUGAGAUGUUUGGUUAAGUCCAGCAACGAGCGCAACCCCUGUUGCCAGUUACCAGCACGUGAAGGUGGGGACUCUGGCGAGACUGCCCAGAUCAACUGGGAGGAAGGUGGGGACGACGUCAGGUCAGUAUGGCCCUUAUGCCCAGGGCUGCACACGUACUACAAUGCCCAGUACAGAGGGGGCCGAAGCCGCGAGGCGGAGGAAAUCCUAAAAACUGGGCCCAGUUCGGACUGUAGGCUGCAACCCGCCUACACGAAGCCGGAAUCGCUAGUAAUGGCGCAUCAGCUACGGCGCCGUGAAUACGUUCCCGGGUCUUGCACACACCGCCCGUCA
This 1369-nucleotide ribosomal RNA is filed under the name uncultured bacterium. Its description in RNAcentral is "bacterial SSU rRNA". It matches the Rfam family "Bacterial small subunit ribosomal RNA". The record is from RNAcentral.